AGAGUUUGAUCACUGGCUCAGGGAUGAACGCUAGCGGGAGGCCUAACACAUGCAAGCCGAGCGGUAUUCUUCUUCGGAAGAGAGAGAGCGGCGUACGGGUGCGGAACACGUGUGCAACCUGCCUUAUCUGGGGGAUAGCCUUUCGAAAGGAAGAUUAAUACCCCAUAAUAUAUUUGAUGGCAUCAUUAGAUAUUGAAAACUCCGGUGGAUAGAGAUGGGCACGCGCAAGAUUAGAUAGUUGGUGGGGUAACGGCCCACCAAGUCGAUGAUCUUUAGGGGCCUGAGAGGGUGAUCCCCCACACUGGUACUGAGACACGGACCAGACUCCUACGGGAGGCAGCAGUGAGGAAUAUUGGACAAUGGGUGAGAGCCUGAUCCAGCCAUCCCGCGUGAAGGAAUAAGGUCCUAUGGAUUGUAAACUUCUUUUCUACAGGGAUAAACCUAUUUACGUGUAAAUAGCUGAAGGUACUGUAGGAAUAAGCACCGGCUAACUCCGUG
This 498-nucleotide ribosomal RNA is filed under the name uncultured bacterium. RNAcentral's name for it is "bacterial SSU rRNA". It matches the Rfam family "Bacterial small subunit ribosomal RNA", at positions 8 to 507 of the family's 1533-position model. The record is from RNAcentral.